AACCUGCCCUMARUUUGGGACAACUACCGRAAACRGUAGCUAAUACCGAAUAGUUGUUUUCUUCGCCUGAAGGAAACUGGAAAGACGGAGCAAUCUKUCACUUGGGGAUGGGCCUGCGGCGCAUUAKCUAGUUGGUGGGGUAACGGCUCACCAAGGCGACGAUGCGUAGCCGACCUGAGAGGGUGAUCGGCCACACUGGGACUGAGACACGGCCCAGACUCCUACGGGAGGCAGCAGUAGGGAAUCUUCCGCAAUGGGCGAAAGCCUGACGGAGCAAUGCCGCGUGAGUGAUGAAGGUUUUCGGAUCGUAAAGCUCUGUUGCCAGGGAAGAACGCUUGGGAGAGUAACUGCUCUCAAGGUGACGGUACCUGAGAAGAAAKCCCCGGCUAACUACGUGCCAGCAGCCGCGGUAAUACGUAGGGGGCAAGCGUUGUCCGGAAUUAUUGGGCGUAAAKCGCGCGSAGGCGGUCAUUUAAGUCUGGUGUUUAAUCCCGGGGCUCAACCCCGGAUCGCACUGGAAACUGGGUGACUUGAGUYCMAGAAGAGGAGAGUGGGAAUUCCACGUGUWGCGGUGAAAAUGCG
This 582-nucleotide ribosomal RNA is filed under the name Paenibacillus pabuli. RNAcentral describes it as "partial 16S ribosomal RNA". The record is from RNAcentral. Lineage: Bacteria; Bacillati; Bacillota; Bacilli; Caryophanales; Paenibacillaceae.